Molecule: ribosomal RNA, 1143 nt
Filed under: uncultured Clostridia bacterium
Lineage: Bacteria; Bacillati; Bacillota; Clostridia
Description: bacterial SSU rRNA
Rfam family: Bacterial small subunit ribosomal RNA
Source: RNAcentral
GAGAGUUUGAUCCUGGCUCAGGACGAACGCUGGCGGCGCGCCUAACACAUGCAAGUCGAACGAGAGAUGAAGAGCUUGCUCUUCAAAUCGAGUGGCGAACGGGUGAGUAACGCGUGAGGAACCUGCCUCAAAGAGGGGGACAACAGUUGGAAACGACUGCUAAUACCGCAUAAGCCCACGGCUCGGCAUCGAGCAGAGGGAAAAGGAGCAAUCCGCUUUGAGAUGGCCUCGCGUCCGAUUAGCUAGUUGGUGAGGUAAUGGCCCACCAAGGCGACGAUCGGUAGCCGGACUGAGAGGUUGAACGGCCACAUUGGGACUGAGACACGGCCCAGACUCCUACGGGAGGCAGCAGUGGGGAAUAUUGCACAAUGGGGGAAACCCUGAUGCAGCGACGCCGCGUGGAGGAAGAAGGUCUUCGGAUUGUAAACUCCUGUUGUUGAGGAAGAUAAUGACGGUACUCAACAAGGAAGUGACGGCUAACUACGUGCCAGCAGCCGCGGUAAAACGUAGGUCACAAGCGUUGUCCGGAAUUACUGGGUGUAAAGGGAGCGCAGGCGGGAAGACAAGUUGGAAGUGAAAUCCAUGGGCUCAACCCAUGAACUGCUUUCAAAACUGUUUUUCUUGAGUAGUGCAGAGGUAGGCGGAAUUCCCGGUGUAGCGGUGGAAUGCGUAGAUAUCGGGAGGAACACCAGUGGCGAAGGCGGCCUACUGGGCACCAACUGACGCUGAGGCUCGAAAGUGUGGGUAGCAAACAGGAUUAGAUACCCUGGUAGUCCACAUUGUAAACGAUGAUUACUAGGUGUUGGAGGAUUGACCCCUUCAGUGCCGCAGUUAACACAAUAAGUAAUCCACCUGGGGAGUACGACCGCAAGGUUGAAACUCAAAGGAAUUGACGGGGGCCCGCACAAGCAGUGGAGUAUGUGGUUUAAUUCGACGCAACGCGAAGAACCUUACCAAGUCUUGACAUCCUGCGACGCACAUAGAAAUAUGUGUUUCCUUCGGGACGCAGAGACAGGUGGUGCAUGGUUGUCGUCAGCUCGUGUCGUGAGAUGUUGGGUUAAGUCCCGCAACGAGCGCAACCCUUAUGGUCAGUUACUACGCAAGAGGACUCUGGCCAGACUGCCGUUGACAAAACGGAGGAAG